This 332-nucleotide non-coding RNA is filed under the name [Bacteroides] pectinophilus. RNAcentral's name for it is "Bacteroides pectinophilus T-box sequence". It matches the Rfam family "T-box leader". Rfam says of the family: Uncharged tRNA acts as the effector for transcription antitermination of genes in the T-box leader family. T-boxes are found upstream of many aminoacyl-tRNA synthetase genes and some amino acid biosynthetic genes usually in Gram-positive bacteria. The record is from RNAcentral. Lineage: Bacteria; Bacillati; Bacillota; Clostridia; Eubacteriales.
AGAAAAGCUAUGAAGAGAAAGAGUAGCAGACACAAGAACUUACAGAGAGCAGCCGGUUGGUGUAAGGCUGCAGGGGCGGUGGCUGUGAAUACAUCUUGGAGCUGCGCACCGAACGACUGCAUAUCUGAUAUAUAUAUUGAUAUAUAUUAUUUAAGAUACAUUUUAGUAGGCUGUGACGGAGGUGACGCACCGUAAUAAGGCGUCAGGGUAUCAUCAGAUAAUUAAUCCGGACAUAUUACAGGAUUAAUUGCUUAUCGUACCUGCUAAGGCAUGAAGCGUGAGUUUUAUGUGAAUUAAGGUGGUAACACGGGAUUGCUGGUCUCGUCCUUUGA